GAUGAACGCUAGCGGCAGGCUUAAUACAUGCAAGUCAAGGGGGUAGCAAUACAACCGGCGCACGGGUGAGUAACGCGUACACAACAUACCAUAUACUGGAGUAUAGCUUUGGGAAACUGAAGGUAAUCCUCCAUAACAUUGCGAGAGGGCAUCUGAUUGCAAUUAAAGUUUCGGCGGUAUAUGAUUGGUGUGCGUUUGAUUAGCUAGUUGGUAGGGUAACGGCCUACCAAGGCGACGAUCAAUAGCUGGCGUGAGAGCGCGACCAGCCACACUGGAACUGAGACACGGUCCAGACUCCUACGGGAGGCAGCAGUAGGGAAUAUUGGACAAUGGAGGAAACUCUGAUCCAGCCAUGCCGCGUGAUAGAUGAAGGCCCUCUGGGUUGUAAAUAUCUUUUAUCUGGGAAGAAACACUCCUAUUCUUAGGAACUUGACGGUACCAGAGGAAUAAGCACCGGCUAACUCCGUGCCAGCAGCCGCGGUAAAGUAGUCG
Molecule: ribosomal RNA, 492 nt
Filed under: uncultured bacterium
Lineage: Bacteria
Description: bacterial SSU rRNA
Rfam family: Bacterial small subunit ribosomal RNA
Source: RNAcentral